Molecule: ribosomal RNA, 2196 nt
Filed under: Triticum aestivum (bread wheat)
Lineage: Eukaryota; Viridiplantae; Streptophyta; Magnoliopsida; Poales; Poaceae
Description: partial small subunit ribosomal RNA
Source: RNAcentral
AUGGGGAUCGUGGAGACGUGGGUGCGCGAGAAGCCCAUCCGCACCUUCCUCUCCCGCCUCUCCCGCCAGUCGGCCGCCGCCUUCGCCGCUUCCACCACCUCCCGCUCCCCCGCGGCGGCAGAUAGCGAGGGCGGCGCCGCCGACGGAGGCAUCCCGCAGCUCUCGUCCGUUGCCAACUCGGUCGUCUCCCGCUGCUCACGGAUUCUUGCUGUUGCAACUGAGAACUUGCAGCAAAGUUAUGAGGCUGAUUUCCCAGAUAAUUGUAAGGAACCCAAUACAUAUGCCAGAGAACUAUUAGAGUACUGCUGCCACAAAGCUCUUCAUGAAGUAACUACACGUCCAGACUAUUUGUCUGAUAUGAAUCUUCGUCGUUUAAUGUUUGAUAUGAUGCUUGCUUGGGAAAACCCAGGUGCUGAGGAAGGAUUGCUAAAAAAUAAUUCUACCUCGUGUAAUCCCGUGGAGAUUGAAGAUGAAGACGAGGGAUCAAUUUUCUAUGCGAAUUCCACAAGUUUGGCUGUUCAAGUCAACGACAUGAAGACAGUUGGAUUAAGUGCUUUUACACGAAUAGCGCCUUCAUGCCCAAUAAUAGCUGACUUGGUUACUGUCCACAAUCUGUUUGAUGCACUUACGUGUUCAUCUGGUGGCCGCUUACAUUAUUUUGUAUACGACAAGUAUCUCAAAAGUUUAGACCGGGUAUUCAGAUCUAUCAAAGGAGUUAUGCAGUCAUCCCUUGCUUCAAGUUUUAAUCUUGAUGCUGGGGAAUGUAUCGUAGCUAUUGAUGGUGACAAGCCUAUUCAUCCUGUAUUGCAGCAUAUUGGGAUAUCAGCUUGGCCAGGAACAUUGAUCCUUACAACACAUGCUCUUUAUUUUCAGAGUAUCAGAGUUGGUUAUGGUGAUAAGAUUGUUAAAUAUGAUUUAGCAACAGAUUCAAAUCAAGUGAUCAAGCGAGAUUUUACUGGACCAUUGGGUGUUCGUCUGUUUGAUAAAGCUGUGAUGUACAAAUCAAGCACUUUAACAGAACCAAUUUAUUUCGACUUUCCUGAGUUAGGGAGCCCCUCACGAAGAAACUAUUGGUUAGCAAUCACUCGUGAAGUAAUGCAGGUGAAUAGAUUUAUCAGAAAAUUCAACCUUGAAGAUAUUCAGAGAGCAGAAGCACUCUCAAAGGCUGUCCUGGGCAUCUUGAGAUACUCUGCUGUGAAAGAAGCUUUUCAUAUUGCUCCCUCUCACUUUAAGACAACACUCACUUUUAGCUUAGCUGAAAAGCUCCCAAAAGGAGAUAUGGUAUUAGAGGCCCUAUACAACAACUACUUCCAACUGUUGGACACUUCAUUGAGCCAUUUGGCAACUGAGCCAGCAGUUGACAAAGCACCGCAGACUCAUUCUGUACCAUUUUCAUUAUAUGCUCUCUCUAGAAUGGGAUUUAACUUGCUGAAGAGAAAAAAUGAAACUGGAAAGGAGAUAAGCUUUUGUGCUGUUUGUGUUGGUGUAACAAAAUCUCUGGAGGCUGCUUUGCAAGAGUCAUUUCUUUAUUCUGAAAGAAUAGAGGCAGCACGUGCUACAGUUGAUCAAGUGAAGGUGGAAGGUCUUGAUGCAAAUGUAGCCCUCAUGCAGGAGAUACUUUUUUCGUUCAUUCAUGCAGGCAAACUUAUUUACUCUUUAACCAAGUGGGAAGAUCCUCUGAAAUCAUUUUUGUUCUUAGCUUUUAUCCUCUAUGUUAUCCAAAGCGGGCUUGUCAGUUACACUGUACCCUCUGUUUUCAUAGUCUUUGCUGUCGUUAUGCUUUGGCAUAAGUACAGUGAAGAAGGGAAACUGUUGGAAGUGCUUGAAGUAAGACCCCCUCCAGCUAAAAAUCCUGUCGAGCAAAUCUUGAUCCUGCAGGAAGCUAUAUCCAAGUUGGAAGACACCCUACAGGCUGUAAAUAUUGUUCUUCUCAAGUUCAGAGCUCUCUUGUUUGCAGCUGUUCCAAAGGCAACUGAAAUAGUCGCAGUGGCACUUCUUGUUGCAGCUGCGGUUGUCGUGUUGAUGCCUCCUAAGCAUCUGCUCCUGAUGGCAGUCCUGGAGGUUUACACGAGGGAGAUGCCAUUAAGGAAGCAACACACAGAGAAGUUCCGAAGACGAAUUAAAGAGUGGUGGGCCCGUAUUCCAGCCGCUCCUGUACAGAUGAUCAGACCUAAGGAAGACAAGAAAAAGAUAUGA